GUAAGAGAAGAUAAGAAUAGUGGUAUCCUGAGUAGGUCGGGGCACGUGAAACCUUGAUUGAAACUGGCGGGACCAUCCGCUAAGGCUAAAUACUCCUGAGAGACCGAUAGUGAACCAGUACCGUGAGGGAAAGGUGAAAAGAACCGUGAAUAACGGAGUGAAACAGAUCCUGAAACCAUACGCCUACAAGCGGUCGGAGCCCUUUUGUGGGGUGACGGCGUGCCUUUUGCAUAAUGAGCCUACGAGUUACCGUUGCUGGCAAGGAUAAGUGAUUAAGUCAUGGAUCCGUAGCGAAAGCGAGUCUUAAUAGGGCGCUUAAGUCAGUAGUGGUAGACGCGAAACCGUGUGAUCUACCCAUGGGCAGGUUGAAGUUUAGGUAACACUAAAUGGAGGACCGAACCGUUUAACGCUGAAAAGUUUUCGGAUGACCUGUGGGUAGGGGUGAAAGGCCAAUCAAACUCGGAAAUAGCUCGUACUCCCCGAAAUGCAUUUAGGUGCAGCGAUGAUCGAUAGUUACUUAGAGGUAGAGCUACUGAUUGGAUGCGGGGGCUUCACCGCCUACCAAUUCCUGACAAACUCCGAAUGCUAAGUAAUGAUAAUCAUCAGUGAGGGCAUGGGUGCUAAGGUCCAUGUCCGAGAGGGAAAGAACCCAGACCAUCAGCUAAGGUCCCCAAAUGUAUGCUAAGUUGAAAAAACGCGGUUUGAUUGCCCAGACAGCUAGGAUGUUGGCUUGGAAGCAGCCAUUCAUUUAAAGAGUGCGUAACAGCUCACUAGUCGAGCGAUCGAGCAUGGAUAAUAAUCGGGCAUAAGUAUACUACCGAAGCUAUGGAUUUGCGCAUUUAGUUGCGUGAGUGGUAGGGGAGCAUUCUAACGGCGCAGAAGGUGAUUUGUGAGAAUUGCUGGAGCUUUUAGAAAAGAAAAUGUAGGCAUAAGUAACGAUAAGGGGUGCGAGAAACACCCCCGCCGUAAGACUAAGGUUUCCUCAGCUAUGCUAAUCAGCUGAGGGUUAGUCGGGACCUAAGGCACACCCGAAGGGGGACGUCGAUGGCCAACGGGUUAAUAUUCCCGUACUACUGAUAAUUGUGAUGGAGUGACACAGUGAUGAAAGCACCGCGAACUGACGGAAUAGUUCGUUGAAGCACGUACCUAUAGGUUUGAUAGUAAAAUGCGUCAGACUUGGAGAAAUGCGAUAGUACUUUGAGUCUUCGGACAACGAGAUAGUGUGCCUAAGGGCUGUCAAGAAAAGCUUCUAAACUUAGAUUAUUAGUACCCGUACCGUAAACCGACACAGGUAGUCGAGGAGAGUAUCCUAAGGCGCUCGAGAGAUUCAUGGCUAAGGAACUAGGCAAAAUAGACCUGUAACUUCGGGAGAAAGGUCGCCAGCGCAAGCUGGCCGCAGUGAAAAGGUCCAGGCGACUGUUUAUCAAAAACACAGGGCUCUGCAAAAUCGUAAGAUGACGUAUAGGGCCUGACACCUGCCCGGUGCUGGAAGGUUAAGAGGAGAUGUUAUC
This 1511-nucleotide ribosomal RNA is filed under the name Myroides odoratimimus. RNAcentral describes it as "partial 23S ribosomal RNA". It matches the Rfam family "Bacterial large subunit ribosomal RNA", at positions 381 to 1894 of the family's 2925-position model. The record is from RNAcentral. Lineage: Bacteria; Pseudomonadati; Bacteroidota; Flavobacteriia; Flavobacteriales; Flavobacteriaceae.